AAAAAUGUAGUUUAUUCAAAACUUUGCUUUGAUAGGGCAAGAAAGUAACAUAGGUUAUCAUUUUUA
This 66-nucleotide transfer RNA is filed under the name Asymmetron lucayanum. Its description in RNAcentral is "tRNA-Ile". Lineage: Eukaryota; Metazoa; Chordata; Leptocardii; Amphioxiformes; Branchiostomatidae. The record is from RNAcentral.